Anas platyrhynchos (mallard) is the source of this 3852-nucleotide non-coding RNA. The record is from RefSeq and is a predicted model, not a curated record. NCBI's taxonomy places the organism in Eukaryota, Metazoa, Chordata, Aves, Anseriformes, Anatidae.
GGGGUGCGCGUGCGCACUGCGGGCGCGCCUGGCGGCCGUUGGGCCUCGCGCGGCGACCGUUGGCCGCUUCCCGCCUCGGGGCAACGGCUCCGCCUCAGGACCCCCGGGGAGCGGGCGCCGUGAGGGGAGCCGCGGGGGUGGCGGCUGUGAGGGGAAAGCUGCCUGGCCUGAGCAGUAAUUAGACGGAGCGCUGAGUGCGGUGGCUCGCCCUGCUGGUCAGGGGCGACCUUAUCGCUCUCUACAGCAAUCCUCUAUACGUGAGCAGAGGACGUUUUGCUGAAGACCGGCUUGCGGGCACCGGCUGGCAGAAGCAAUGCCUGCGAUGCAAGGACUCCGUGCAGCGUGCCGCGCGGCAGUGACAGCAGCAUGAGCUCAGCAGGCAGGUUCGUACCGCACGGUGUAGCCCUGCCUGGAGUGACCAGCCCUCGGCGAGGCGCGGUGCUUUGAGCGCCUCUGCUCGGGUGCAGGUUUACCCCGAGGACUUUGUCUCUCUCCUCCCCCACGUUCGCAGUGUGCAAUGCAGCGUGCGUGUCAUGGUGUACAGAGGUGCUUGAACUCCUCUUGUCUCCGUGCUGGGGCUCUGAUGCUGCUCCCUGUGUAUCGUGGUGUAUUUUAUAAAGCCUGAGGAUCAAAAUACUACUGCAUGUAGGGGAGGUGCCACAGUGGUCUCUGCUCAUGUGGAGAAACUGCAGGAAUGGGAAGGCAAAGCAGGUUGUGGGUGAUGAUUGCGAAACAUGGGCAAGAGUUAGGAGCAGACUUCCUUCCAGUCAUCCAGUGUUUUGUCUUAUACCACCUUCUUUGUACCGAAUUAUCUCCAUCCUAUGAAAUGAAGGUGAUAGUUCUGCAAACUGCUUUGGCAUUUGCAGAUCACAAGCAGAAUGCUUGGUAACACUUGGGCAGGCUAAGGAAAUGGGAGAAACUGCCCUUAGAAAAAGUGCAGCUGCUGCGCAGGGCAGCUUGGAGAAGGAAUCAGGCAGAGUCCUCGCCACAGUAUGGGCCCUGGUUCUCCUUAGGAGCUUAACCUUCACGUCAGCAUUGUGCUGCUAUGAGUUUGCUGUAAUUUAAGACCUUUACAGCUGGAAGGGGGUUGUGUUAUGUCCAUUUCUCCACCAGUAAUUGCCAUCUGAAAGCAUUCUGGGGUGGCAACACUGUGUGGUGUGGAAGUGUUAAAUUUUACACAGUGCCAGCUUGAAGUCACCAUAAAAUAAUCUUUGAAACAUAGAAUCAAUAAUAAUAAUACUUAUGCUAAGAUGUAAACACGAGGAUCAUAGGCUAGAGUACCAAAUCCUGGCUGGUGCGGUAUGUCCCUACUUAGUACCAUGUGUGAAAUGAAGCGUGGGCUAGCCCAAAUAGCCCAAAUCUCGGAGAAACUGCUCUCUUGUAUGACAAGGAUGAGGGAACGUCAUGCUUCACUGACAUCAACACAUAACUAUUCCUAGACACACCCAGUUAACAGCAACCCAAGGAUCGGUGCCAUCGCACCUUUUGUACAACUGUUCCUGUGUAUUUUCUAUCAUCAUCGCUCUUCUUGAUGGAUUCACAAAAUGCAAUGGUCUUCCGUGGGCUGGGAAUUUCAUAAUCAGCUGAAAGUUAAAAAUAAAAUGGAUCACUACUACAAAUAGGAAAAGUGCUGAACCAAGAACUAUCUUCAGUUCUACUGGUGAGACCUCAUCAACUUCAGCAGGACCUGACUGUGAAGCAGAAAGCAAAUCUGGUAUACUUGGACUUUUUGUUUUUUAAAAUUUCUGUGUGAGUACAAACUUUCACCCUGACCUAAGCAGAGUGCAAGUCAAAAUCCAUGGAUCAGAUUUCCAAGAGUUCCAUAACUAACAGUGAUUGAGGAUCUUAAAAAAAAAACCACACAACAACAACAACCAAGGAACCCGACCACUACAACUGAGUUUAGAGGUUAUCCCCAGAGGACAGACGCUGAGCGUGAGUUAUGUUUCUUCACAAAAGGCACAGUUGGUGCACCAAGUUCUGUUCUCAGACUUCAGGGGCAACUUGUGUGCUGAGAAAAGGAGCUUCCCCAGGAUGACAGCUGUAAUAUUUUGACUGGACAGCGGGAGGAGGAGGGAAGGAAUAACAUAGCCAAGGCAAGAAACAAGGGCACGGGUGCUUUGCAGCCCCUAGACGCUGCAGUAGUUUUUUAAUCUCAGAUCCCAAGUCUUCAGGGAAGUGAGGAUGACAGACCUACUGCUGUACUCCCAAUCUCAUCCUUUUGGGGCAGUGCAGGGAAGCAGCCCAUAGGGAGUCUCAGCACAGAUUUGGGGUGUUCCUCCCCCUUGGCAGCUUCUCCAAACCUAACGAGCCUUAAGAAACACGAGAACCACCCUGGCCACAACUCCUUCCCACGGCACACUUGUUUUCGAUAACAGGUACCUGCUUUGCUCUCCAUCCAGAAGGCAGUGAUACGCAGCAAUGUCUUUCUCCAGCUGUUGCUUGUUGGUCAGCAGAUUUUCACGAUCCCGCUGCUGCUGCUCAGUUUCUGCUUUGAUUUCUGCCAUCUCUGCCUCCAGCUUGGAAAUGACAGAGCCCAGGUUCUGCAGUUCGAUGUCAUGCCAGUGCUUGGCAUCGUACAAGGAGUUCUCCAGACCCCUCUUCUGUAAGGCCAAGAAGCAGACAUUAACACAGUCAGUUUUCAUAUGCUUCAGAGUAACAUUUAUUCAGGUUUGGCCAAUAUCUUCAUCGACUAUGCUUUAAUAUGAGAACUCCUUUCUCUAGACACUUUGAAAAAUGUGUAUUAUCAUUAUAAAGGUUGAACCAGUUUGGUUCCAGCCUCCUAGCAGGGUGGUUGAUGCCCCGCGCCUGUCAGUGUCCAAGAGGCAUUUGGACAAUGCCCCCAGUGUCGUGUUUUAACUUCUGGUUAGCCCUGAAGAAGUCAGGCAGUUGGACUUGAUCCUUGAAAGUCCCUUCCAGCUGAACUACUCUAUUCUAUGCUGUAGAAUAUAACCCACACAGCAAUCUCAGUGAAAUUUAUUAAUAAAGCACGUAUGAAGACAUUGAAGAUAAUUGAAAUUUGGGGCUCAGUCUUCAAAUGUGGUACGUUUGGUCUACUACGUCAAUCAAGGAGAGCUCAGAAAUGUCUGGCAUCUCUGGGAACAAUAUCCACUGGAAAAAAGCAAUUUAUUCUCAGCUCUGCACCCCAGGAUGGGCAUGCUCUCUUCAGAAGGCACAAUGAAUUCACACAGAAGAUACCCAUACAGAACCGAUGUUACUUACCAAGGUUCUCAAGGAUUCAGUUUCGGCCUGCAAGCUCUGUAUUUUGCAGGCAGUUUCGUGGAACUCGGUUCUGAGGCCCUCCACCAGUUCUUCCUCCUGGCUUCUCACUGCAGCUGUCGCUUCAGCCUGUUGCUGGUACAAGGUUAUGGCUGUCAUCACAGCGCACUCAAAUUAUGCUUUAGUUUCCUUACAUACCAAAAUGACGCUUAAUAUUUUCACAGUUUGUGGCAAUUCUGAUUUUGAGUUUGAUUGCUAUAUAUUAAAUUCUUUGGUUGAAUGGUUUGGGUACUUAUUAGCGUCAAAGUUGUCUGUUCUUCUAUGUGCCUACUGUAAAACGGCUUACACGUGUAAAUGUACAUAUUUUAUCUAUGUUGACAAAAGCUAUUCAGCAUUUCUACUAGUACUUUUAAGAUGGUCUGUAAAAGAAAGCAUUGCUGUAAUUCUGCUUUUCUUUGUAGCUAUGCCAUAACAUAUUUUAAAAGUUAAGUGUUUUCAUUUAGCCCAUUUGAUUUCAAGUAUUCACACCAUGCUUUUUCACAUGGGAUUCUAUGAAUGAGAGAAGAAGUCAUGUCACAUAAGGCAGAAAAAAUAAUUUAUGUUAAUUGAAUUAAUAUAUUCUAUGCAAUUUCA